UCGCUUUUAUAAGUUUCUCCUUGGUUCUCGCAUUCACAUAAAGAGACAAACAUGUAUUAUCGGUAACUCCAAAUUAACCAUCUCAAUUAAUUCAACAUGUUUAGUCCUUUAAUCUUUAUUCUUAGUACUACCUUCGUGAUUCCACACUCCUAAUCAUAUAAGCUAAAGUAUUGGACAUUCAAUCUUUGGAAGAUAUAAACAAAGGAUAAAUAUAGAUAAAUUAUCUUUCCAUUAGGUUGAGCCAUCUGAUCUGACAAAUGUUUUAAAUGCUACACUCAUGAUCCAUCAACUUUGUCUUGCUCACUAUGCUUAAGGUUAGAGAAGAACAAAUACACUUUUGGUUCUAUUGGUGUUUUCCACCAAUAGGGCCCAUGCACUUGAUCUCUGCCUUGUCUCUAUGAGCAGGAACACUUCGAGCAUAAUAUGAAGGAGUUUUACAACUCCCAGAUUCCACCAAGUGAAGAACUAGGAUCUACGAGCACAAACACACUGGAGAUACUGGACGCUCAGACAAUCACUGCCCUGAGAUGCUUGAGGACGUAAACUACAUCAACAACAAUAACAACUAUUACUACAACCGUCCUCAACAAAAUCAAGGUUGGAAUCAACAGAGGCCUAAUUACUCAGAGAGGUGAUCCAGGACGCUCCGUCAUCCCGAUCUCCAUCGGCAUGGUGGACUUCCCAGAAGCACUCUGCGACUUUGGCUCCAGCGUCAACAUUAUGCCCAGGGUUGCAGAUCGGACACUUAGUUUCCCAAAGGAAAUAUUGAAGAACCUCUGCGUCUGAGUUGGUACCUUGUACGCUCCAGCAAACUUCGUGGUGAUAGAGACUGGUACUGAGGAGAGGGCACCCAUCAUCUUAGGGAGGCCAUUCCUAAACACCAGAGCUGUCAUCUAUGCUAAUGCUGCCAAGAUCAGUUCCUACAUCAAGGGGAAGAAGGAGACUUUCCUUCAAGAACAAGACUACACAAAUUUCAGAGCAAUCCCGACAUGAACCAAGGAAGAGGACCAACAGGAGGAACAGGAACAAGCAAAUGUGGACCGAGUCAACUAAGAUGGUCACUGCAACUCAAGGAGGUCAAGAUUGUCGACUCAAGUCGCCCUUCCUGAUCAAGAAGGAUGACCCUGAUGUUCCAAGCAUUGAGUGCACAAUCAACAGAUACUCUUUUCAGAAGACACUCUACGACAUCGGAUCUAACGACAACAUAAUGGCCGCAGUCACUUAUUAGCUCCUGCAUGGGACCAUGCCUCUACAACCAAUAUACAUUCAGCUCAGGUCAUUGACAUGGGAGAAGACGAGUACGAUCCACCCACCAUCCUUGGAAGACCGUUCCUCAAUACUAUCAAAGCAAUCAUCUACAUUGGAACCAGAGAAGUCCACAUAUACUUCCCCUCUGAGAAGGUACGCAGCUAUUUUACUGACCUUAACUAUAUAGUUGAAGACUCUAAGCAGGUCAGGACAAGAAGAAGACAACGCAACCGCAACUGGAGGAGGCAAAUCAUCAAGGACGGAUGGGUAGACUACGAAGGAGAAGUGAUAAGGUCUGAAGACAUAUAGAUUGAACAGAACUGUCCUGAGGAGGCCGUAGCACCGAGUCAGAUGUGGAAAGAGAAGAUAGUUAUACACAAAGAAGAGGCGCCGCCGGAAUCACCGACUACGCCACCUAGCGAAUCCCAGGACGACUGAAAACACAAGGAGUCCCGUUCGGAGGACUUAAAAACACCGAACGCCUUGCCAAGAGGUAAACUUGGUAGUUAUCCUUUUCCAUUCAAUAGUUUGCUUAGUUAAUCAGGUUCAUGCUAUCUUGAAAAGAAAAUAAAAAAAUAGUAAGCCCCAUGUGAGUAUGCUCAUGGCAUAAAAUCCAUAAGUACAUUCACUGUGGUGGCAUAAAAAUAAAAUAAAUAUGUUUUCAUCUUACAAUAAAAAUAUAAAAAAUAAGUGCAUGAUCCUGUUAAAUAAGUAAUAUUUAUUGUGGAGGCUCAACACGAUAAAGGCUAGAUAUUUAUGCUAACACUUAACCAGUUCCACAAAGCUUUGUUGUCUAUUUGAGCUCCACAGAAUUCAAUGAUCAAAGAAGACUAGCAGACGGAGGACAUUCUAAUCGCUGUCAGAAUGCUGCUGACUUUCAAAUACACCUCUGCCACCUGCUAGCUACAUCAGAAGAAAUUACGUCAAAAUCCAGCUUGGGGGAGAGCACCCCCAUUUAUCCAGCUAAGUGUUUCUAGUCGCAUUUAUACUUUACUUAAAUAAUAAGAGAUGCAUACUCAUGAAAACCCAAAUAAAGAUUUUGUGCUUUUAUAUAUAUAUAUAUCUUUGCUUAGUUUGCUAAAUAAAUAAAUAAAUAAAGUUUGCUAUCAACCCUCAUGAUAAACUCUCACAUGGAAAUAAUGAAUAGUUGCUCUGCCAUGACUAGUUCUUAAAAUUGAAAUCUCUCUCAAGUUUAGGCAUGACUGUUAUGAAUUAAAAUUUGCUCUAAACCUGAACUUGUGGGAAGAGUACUUGAUCUAAAGUCUAAGUUGUUAACGGAUAUGAUAUGGGAAGGUUGAGCUGCUGUUUUAUCUGUUCCUAGAGAUGCUAGAAUUCUGGAGAAUUUUAUCUUUGAAAAUCUUUAAAAUAUUACAUGAUGAGUUCCUGUAUGAUGAGAGUUUAAAUUCCUACCACAGCCAUAUAUACAUGCUUGCUAGACUUUGAGCCACACAUUUACUUUUUACUACUUAUGAGCAUUGAGUGUGGUCAAGCUGUGUUGACCCUUAGGAGCUUGUCAUGUGGUUAAGUCAAGAUUCACUUGCACGUUCACUCAUACAUGCUACUUCUACUCCGGAAGUACCAUCCACAUAUAUCCACUCAUUUCCAUCUCCAGAACCACCCAAAAACGUUCUACUCCUAAUCCGAAAAAGAAUGGCCAAAAAUAUUUUCCUAUCCCUAUUAUUCCCUGUGAAAUAAAUGCUCCAGUUAUUUUGGUUACUACCACUUGCUAUAUUAUUUCAAGGGAUGAGUGCUCUAGUAAAAAAAAAGAAGAAAAAAAAAGAGAAAAAAAAAUAAUAAUAAUAAUAAUAAUACGAGGAAAUAAAAAGGGGCAAGUGCCCGGAACCUCGAAGAAAAGAAAAAGUGAGACGAGAGGUAAAAAUGGACAAGUGUCCGACAGUAGAAUUAGGGGUACAAGAUACCCACCUGAGAGGAAAAAAAAAAGAAAAUAUAGAGCAUCUCAUUCUCCCCAAAAAGGUUCAAAGAGCAAGAAAGGUAUGUAUCCCCUCAAAAGAGCAAAAGUAGAAUUAGACUUUCACCAUCAUUAUCACCAUCAUCACCAUACACCAUUCAUUCGCCACACAUGCACAUCUUGAUUUGACUUAUUGACUUGUUUCUCUGGAUCCAUGGUUUGACUAUGCAAUAAAUGUCUUGUAAGUAUGUAUUAGCUGUCUCCCACCUAUGAGCUCAAGAUAUCAAAACCUUAUUAGAGUAGGGUGAGAGAGGAAGCAAUAUCACUAUGCCUCAUACCACAAAUACUACAUACUUUGAGAGAAGGCAUAUACCAUUACUGCCUUGGUAAGGAUCCAGAAAUACCACAAAAGAGAGAUUUGAGAGAGUCAUAUAAGGAAUCUCUGAGUUUUAUUUGAAAACCUGCAAAAACUCCAGAGCUAUAGCUGAUCAAGAACAAGAUACAUGGUGCUUGACUUGACCGUUCUAUCUUUUAACUGCUCAAGACACAAGUGACGGUUACAAGCCCCAUGGUGAAAGGUAAAAUGAGUAAGUUUUAAGUCUUAACAGUUUAUUCUAACUCAGAGAUGAGAUCUUGCUUGAAUGCGUGUGUACCUUUAAGAAAUGAAACCACUGCAGAAACUCUUGAGUUCAUCCUUGCUCAGGGACGAGCAAGAGGUAAGCUUGGGGGAGUUUGUUGACGGUCCUUAAGUAUCAAAUUUAAUUAUCAAAUAAACAAAGAAAAGGAUCCAAAUGAAAUCAACAUCUAGACUUAGGGUUUUAUCUGACAGAAUUCCACGAGUUUUGGUGUUUGUCUAUUUCUGCAGGGGGUUAUCAGGAAAUAAGGAAGAAAGGCCCACAUGUCAGGAUUACAUAGAGAUAUCAACGCACCGUGCAAUUUUGUACCAUCUAGAAGACUCCAGAAGCCACAGGAAGGAAGCGGAGGCCGAAAGGGGCCAGGCCCAGGGCGCCCGCCCUGAGGACCUGGGCGCCCGCCCACCUCUGGACUCCGUUCCGGACUCUCUUCGCACACGACGUUCCACCGACCUAUUGGAUCCAGAAUAACGUAGUACCACCUCGCUUACCGACCCAAAAACGCAUAGAAGGGGAGGACUAUAUAAGCAAGGCCUCCCUGGCCCCUGGAGAAGACAUGAAGAAGUUAUCAUAGAGAUUGAGGGGUGCCCUCGAAGGAAAACCUCUUCUCUAAAUAAUAUUUCUUUUUAGGCUUAGCAACCAAUGUAAGGUAGAAAUAGAUCUUCUAGUUUCUACUAGAUUGAGAGAGAUAGAGUGGAGGUGUGGAUCGGAGGAAGGCCGGCCUGUCGGUGUCUACUCCGAGUUGUACCUACGGGAUCAAGUCUCCUAACCCGAGGCUUGCUUCUAAGAUUCUUCAGUAAUUCGACUUCUAAUUACUAGUAAGUUCUUGUUUUAUUGUUCUUUGGUUUAUGAGUUUACUUUAAUCCUCUUCCGGUUGAGUAUUAGAGUAAUCACUUGUUAGCGUAAACGUGGUGUUUAGGCUAGGGUACUCAUAGAUAUUCCCUGACUAGCUGGACCGUGGUAGUAGUGAGGAACGUGACAAUUCCGAGCUACCUUUGUAGAUCACAUCUCGUUAGCAGGAAGGAUAGGGUUUAUAGG
This 4827-nucleotide long non-coding RNA is filed under the name Sorghum bicolor (sorghum). RNAcentral's name for it is "long non-coding RNA (SBIC_LNC003455)". The record is from RNAcentral. Lineage: Eukaryota; Viridiplantae; Streptophyta; Magnoliopsida; Poales; Poaceae.